CUCCGGGGCCCUGUAAUGAGAGGUCAUGGCAGCUCUGUGGAGGCUUUGGCAGCUGUGUCCAGGGCCAGGGUCACGAACCUGGCCUAGACCACAGAGGCAAGGCCAAGGCCAAGGAGUGGUUCUGGGUCACCAUGCGGGACUGCCUGCCCAAGGAAUGAAGAUCAAGGCCCUGGAGGUUAGUCAUGAUUUCUCCUUGCCCAUUGAGGAGUCUAAAAUCAUUGACUUUUUCCCAGGGAGGUCCCUCAAGGAUGAAGUUUUGUGGAUUAAGCUCAUGCAAAAGCAGACCUGUGCCAGCCAGCAGACCAGGUUCAAGGCAUUUGUUACACUCAGAGACUGCAUAGCCAUGUCAGCCUGAGUAGCUGCUGUCAUGGGCAAGGCCAACAUCCUGGUUGAGCUCUCCAUCACCUGUCUGCUCGAGGACACUGUGGGGAACAAGAUAGGUGAGCCCUAAGUGGUCCCUUGAAAGGUGACUGGCCUCCGUGGCUCUGGCGCACCUCCUCCUGACUCCCAGAGACAAUGGCAUCAUCUCAAUCCCUGUGCCUAAGAAACUGCUGCUUAAGGCCAGUAUCUAUGAAUGCUACAUGUUGGCCAGGGGCUACACUGCCACCUAGGGCAAUUUCACCACAGCCACCUCUGAUGCGGUCUCCAAGACAUUGAGCUAUUUUACCUCCCAACCCACCUCUGGAAAGAGACCACAUUAACAGAGUCUCUUAUCAGGAAUUCACUGACCAACUCCUAAAGACUCACACCAAAGUCUUAGUGCAGAGGACCUGGCUUCCCACUGUGGCCACC
RNAcentral lists this long non-coding RNA (792 nucleotides) under Homo sapiens (human). RNAcentral describes it as "non-protein coding lnc-TRIL-5:1". Lineage: Eukaryota; Metazoa; Chordata; Mammalia; Primates; Hominidae. The record is from RNAcentral.